Molecule: non-coding RNA, 112 nt
Organism: Acanthosepion pharaonis
Lineage: Eukaryota; Metazoa; Mollusca; Cephalopoda; Sepiida; Sepiidae
Source: the annotation of a GenBank genome assembly
UAUGGUCACAUCACGUCGUAACACCGGUUCCCGUAUGAUCACUAAAGUUAAGCAACGUUGAGCCAGGUCAGCACCUAGUUGGCUGAUCCCUUGGGGAUACCAGGUGUUGUUA